UCGGGAAUAUUGCGCAAUGGAGGAAACUCUGACGCAGUGACGCCGCGUAUAGGAAGAAGGUUUUCGGAUUGUAAACUAUUGUCGUUAGGGAAGAAAAAAGACAGUACCUAAGGAGGAAGCCCCGGCUAACUAUGUGCCAGCAGCCGCGGUAAUACAUAGGGGGCAAGCGUUAUCCGGAAUUAUUGGGUGUAAAGGGUGCGUAGACGGGUGUUUAAGUUGGUUGUGAAAUCCCUCGGCUCAACUGAGGAACUGCAACCAAAACUGGAUAUCUUGAGUGUCGGAGAGGAAAGUGGAAUUCCUAGUGUAGCGGUGAAAUGCGUAGAUAUUAGGAGGAACACCAGUGGCGAAGGCGACUUUCUGGACGAUAACUGACGUUGAGGCACGAAAGUGUGGGGAGCAAACAGGAUUAGAUACCCUGGUAGU
This 423-nucleotide ribosomal RNA is filed under the name uncultured Acetivibrio sp. RNAcentral's name for it is "bacterial SSU rRNA". It matches the Rfam family "Bacterial small subunit ribosomal RNA", at positions 355 to 794 of the family's 1533-position model. Lineage: Bacteria; Bacillati; Bacillota; Clostridia; Acetivibrionales; Acetivibrionaceae. The record is from RNAcentral.